GUAUAUAUCAUAAAGAAAAAUUUUUCCAUAAAAUGGAAUACGAUAAUAUUAUAAGACAGGUUGGAGAAUUUGGAAAAUAUCAAAAAGUGUUUCUGGUCAUCGUAGCUAUAUCAUCAAUAUUUAAUGCCAUGACAACAUUUGCAUUAAAUUUUGUCUUUGGAGAACACGCUCAUAGGUACGUUAUUUUUAGUAAUAUUCGUUUCAUGCGAACGUGUACUGAAUUAAACGUUCUAAUUAUUUUACUUUUUGGAGAUAAAGUCUGGUUUUGUACAAAGCUAAUCCUCCCACUUGUCUGACAGUCGCAUACAUUUCAUUCAACAAAAAUCACUAUAGAAUAAUAUCAAAGAUGUUGCCAAGUGCACCGGAAAGGUAAGCAGAUCCUGUUCUGCAUAUGGCACCCGUCGUGUUACUCAAGGAAAAACAAGCUCGAUGAAAUUCUGUGUCAAUUAGAUAAUGUUCCAUUUUUGGAAUAGAAGACAAGAUUGUCGUUAUGAUAAUUGGAACAAAAUAAUUUGCUAUUUGUUUUAUGACUUGGGAAUUUUAAAAUAUGGAGUUUAACAGUAUGAAUUUAAUUGAUCAUGAUUAUAUACAUAAAGUAAAAAAGCAUGUAUCUUUAAUUUUAACUAUAAUAUCUAUAGAAUGAUUUGAAUGAUAUGUGUCGAUUCGCAAACAGGUCAGGAACAUUUUUAGUUUAAAUUCUUCAUUCAUUUCAACAGAUUAUUAUUUGUCAUUUUUAUCUUGUUACAUUUUAUAUAUGAAGAUACAUACAUAAUAGUAUAACAAAACAAAAAACAAGUUUUCUUUUCUUAUAAAAUGAUAAACUUUCUGUUUAAUUUACCUUCCUUUAUAAUACAAGUUAAUGAUAUCUAUUUGCCUACUUAUCAGAAAUUACCAUGACCAAAUAUUAUCAUGUUAAAUAUUCGAGGAAUGAAAAAUAAAACUACACCAUGUAUAAUAAACCCUGACAGAUUUUAUUUAUUCUGCUUCUUUUUUGUUUUUAAAAAAUAAGGAGACGAUAUAUGAUUGCAAAUGAGACCAAUAUUGAUCAAAAACCAAAAACACUAAGAUAUUCACAACUGUUAAAGGUUCCAAUACGGCCUUCAAAAAUAUCAAAACAUACCUAAUAGCUAUAGAUAAUACUUGCAUGAAAAAAUUUGAAUCAAUUCAAACGAGAAAACAAACAGUCUGAUUUAUGACACAAAAGUUAAAAAGAAAAAAGUAACAAACAACAUCAAUCGACAAUACUAAAAUGAUAUAUUCUGGCAUGUGCAGGAACAUACAUGUACAUGAUACUGUUGGGAAUAAACCGGCUUAUUAACAUUCAAUCCUUCUUCUACUCAAGGAAGUUUCACUCACAUGAGUUUCGUUAAUUCACGCGAAUAUUAGUGAAAUUCACAAGAAGGUUAUACUUGAAAUAACAGCUAAGUUUUCAAGUUAAUAAAAAUCAUGAAAAAUACCAUUUGUUUUGCAAUUGAAAUUCCUAUAAAUUUAUGUUAAAAUCACUUCAAAAUGUACUUGUAUACUCUCGUAAUAACCCGGCUUUGUUUUCUCUAAAUCGAUCUAUGAAUUUUGAAGAUCGGUUUACUACUGUUGCCUUCAUUAAGGUGAUUUUUUGUAAUGUUUUUUGCAUGUUUUAAGCAAAUUUCACGUUAAUUUCAUACGUGAGGAAAAUGUGCCUGUGUAACCUGUGACAGUGAUAAGAUGACUGAAAAUACAUACAUUGUAGUAUUAACGAAAUAAUGAUCCACGUUCAAACUAUCAUGGUUGGUAAUCACAAUUUUCAUAAUAUUGGAAAGUCCUGAACAUAACCAGUCGCUAUUAUUUGUAAAUGGCGUUUCAUAAUAAAAAUAUGCGCCAGUUAAAGCUAUUUCACCCCAAUAAUAAAAAAAAAAAGAUUCAUGCAAAUAAAAUCUUUGAACUUCUAAAAAAUGUAAAUAACAUUUGUUUUUGUUUUUGCUGCUUGCCUUGAUACACAAAAAGAGAAUAUAUUGCUCUCCAUUCAAACUAAGUAACUAACCAACCGUACCAAAAGUUUGUAGGUUUUACAAGCUAGUCUGGACAUGAAAUAACAUUAACUGUAUUGACAGCUAGUAAUUUUCUAAACGGAUGGUUUAUCAGACGUUGACCUUCAUUCAUGCGUCGAUUAUCAUUGUCCUAAUUUUUUUUAUGUUCGCAUGGUUACCCCAGACUAUUAUUGAAGAAUGUAUGUCAAGGUUGUACCUAUUUGUAUUUGAUUGUUGCCAAGUUUUCAUACUGGCUAUUACAAUUGUAAAAUUAAUCAUAAAACACGGACUUAUUUUAACAAAUAUUGGAUAUAAGUCCCUCUUUUGUAUUUCAUCGAUAUCCUAUGUUAUGAUGUUCUGAUAAAUCUCGAAGAUAGCAAAAUUUGUAAUCAAGGUAGCCAUUCAGUUUUAUAAUUAUAAUGAGUUCAUGGAAAAUAUUGUAGUGCGUAACCUAAAGCUUUAUUUGAAUAAAACUAUUCUUAUCAAAUGCACAAAAUUUGCUGCAAAACAGUUAAAUUGUUAUAUCAUAUUAUUUAUCAGUUAAUUUAUCUUACCGACUAUCUUAAUGUCGAUGUGGUAUUUUAUUGAGUGGCCUAGCAAAGUGAUAAAUUAUUGGUUUCAAUACUUAUUAUUAAGAUCCUACUUCCAUUGGUCUAUACAAAAACAAAUGCCAACGAUAAGAACUUGUUAGCCUUAAAUGUGUUUUUAUGAUUUAUUUCAACUGUCCAGCAUAAAUUUCGUCGUCUGAUGAAACCUGUCAGAUCGUGUAUUGAAAUAAAUCCUGCAUUCUUGAAAAAUACACGGUUCCAAUUCGGAUGUUAUUAACCAAUCAUAUUAUUAGAAAAGUAUAUGAGGUAAUUGUAAAAGUUAUUAUAAUUUUCGAUAGAAACCAAACAAAUCAGCUUAAUGUUUUUUAGUAUAACAACUAUUAAUAGACUUAACCUCGUGUUACAUAAUAUAUUUCUAACGUUACCGCUGCGUAGACGUGUUUGGGAAUGAGCCAACGGAUGCUGUUUUGAUAAUAUUUAUUUUUUCACUUAUUUUUAAAAUGGUUGACUGAAUGAUCUUUAAGUAAAGUCUAGUGCAAAAAGUUUAUACAUGUAAAGGACGACGAGAAAUAAACUAUUACUAUUAUAAAUUUGAUGAUAAAUGACAUGCUAUAUAUGGGCAGCAAUUGUGCCAUCUAAUGAGAACCACUCUAAGAUGUGGUACAUGUGCUCUUUAAAAAUGCAGAGAGUAAUGGUAUUCUCGUUUCUUAUUUGAAAGUUCGUUUAUUUGGUUAUCCAAUGUUCAUUAAAACUUUCUAUACGAUGAAGGUUUUGCUCAAUGUCUAAAGCCAUGCAGUGACGUAGAGUUGCUUUCUAUAUUUGUGCUCUGGUCUUUUGAUGAAUAGUUGACGUCUUGUAAUGUUAUUUUUUUCCCCGUUAUUUAUUUUCAUUAUAUUUGCACUAUUGUUGUUGUUAAUCUGUAUAAUUUAUGUUUUUAUGAUACUGUUAAACUUGUUAAAAUUAAUAUAUUAAACACAAUGUAAACAAUGUAAUAAACUUAAUUUUAACAGUUAUCUUACUUCGUUUUAUGUUAGGAUUUUUUGUAGGUUUUUUUUUGCCAUUUAUUUUUGGAGAUUGUAUUGCAUCUUUUUGGAUUCUGUUUUCGUAUAUGAUUUAUUUAUACUACUAUAUCUGGGCCCCGUAUGCAUAACAGUUCUUAAAUUUAGAUUUUUCUUAAUAAACACUUAAGUUAGGGAAGGAGAACGACAAUCCACAAGAUGCUGAACAAAUAUAGUAAAAUUUUACUGAAGAAAAAACGUUUUGUAAAACUAUUCGUUCAUUGAUACCUUAAUCGCGUAUUGUUAGGGUUAAAAAUAAAUUGUUGUCUCGAGUAAGUAAACGGGCCCCUUCAUCAAGCAACACCCAUGCAAGGUGAAUUAAAUAUUUAGUAGAGGAAAAAUAUUGGAUAACAAACUAUUUUUUUUCGUCCCAUGCUCAUCAAUAAAAACGUCAACCUUUGCUCUAAUGCGCCAAUUUGUCAUCUGUUUCAAAAUUUUACUUUGUAAUGUAUGAUGAAAUUGUUUAAUAAAUCAAGACAAAUUAAACACCCGCUCUAAAUAAAAGGGUGUAUUGGUCAAUCAGUAAAGUAAAAUAAAGACUUCAUAAGUUAAUGCAUACGGAUUAAGAAUGCUCCUUUACAAGGUAAAUUCUAGGUGAAAUCUAAGUUUAAGAAACACUUAAGUUAAGAUGUUCAUGCAUACAGGCCUUGAAGCAAAGUGACUGGUUAAUUUUGGGUUUCUCGGUCAACGUUCGUCUGUAUGUUUUUAUUCUAGUUAUAUCAAUAUAGAUGGUAGAUAGGCAGUGUUUAUACAUCAUAUAGUUAGUUUAACUCGUCAAUAUCAAGUGAAUAAAUAAAUUCUAUGCAUGACCAAAAAAGAAAUAAAAUUGCAUUUAAAAUUUUUAUGAAAUUAGUCACACUAGGGAACACCAACAUUCAAUUUGACUAUUAAAUAUUUAAUGGACAUACUUUCUUUUAAAGACAUUUAUUAUUGUUAUUCCAAUAACAAACAUUUUCAAAAGAUAAAACAUAUGCGAUGGGUAGAUAAAAAGAUCAACAUUAUCUUAGCAUUUACUUAACAAUCAGUGAAGAACGCCACAUGCGUGGUGCUGGCUAUUUAUGACACAGGGUGAUAUCUUCCUAGCGAAGAAAAAAAAAAACGAUCGAGAAGAAAAGUAUGGAAGCGUAUUAAAAAGCGCUAUUCAACUUUUUUUUUUAAAUUUUCCCCUUGUUGGCGAUUUACGGCUAACAUUUGUGAUAUGAAGGUUGCGUUAUAACUUAUAACGUGUUUACUUUUGCAAAUAACGUAAACAGUUGUUAUAAAGGGAGUAAGCUAAAAUGGAGAAUGCAAAUAGGGAAUGUGUCAAAGAGACGAAGGCCAUCAGUGGGUUUUCAAUACAACGAAGAGGCAGCAUGGUGUUAUUCCUCUUCUCACUUAUUGCAAGGUAAAGUGCUGGGGGUGUUUAGCACAUAUCAUGGCAUAGUACUGAGCAGGAUAUUAUUAAAAAUAAUAUUGAGUUUAUCGAAGUCAUACUGAAGAUUAAAAAUCUACCCUGUUAAUGCAUAGCUGAAUCUGAUGUCCUUCCAAAGUAAACACACAUAUGAACAUUGUGUAAGAUUGGUUAGAUCAAAACAAGUUACCCAUUUGAGAUAAAUGUAUAAGAUGGAUAUUUUGUUUCUAAUUGUGUAAUAUACAUUCAAAUUGCUUCCCAAGCAUCUUAAAUAGAUACAUGUACCUUAAUAAAAUGAAAUUAAAACCCCUAUAAAAGAGGGACGAAAGAUACCAAAGGGACAGUCAAACUCAUAAAUCUAAAACAAACUGACAACGCCAUGUAAUUAUUUUUUUUUUAUCAACAAAAGAUUUCUUUUUCCAAAUAAUUCAUCUUUAUUCCGAAAGGUCAAUUUGUUUAUUUGACUGUAUCGUUUAACAAUUGGAUGACAUUUGUUUAGCUCCUCUCUGCUUUGCCACUUUCCACUUUCAUUCAAGGAUAUUAAUUUGCGCUUCCGCUGAAGAUUGCAGGAUACGUAUUAGGCUUAUUAGAAUUGUACUAUCGAUUUUGAUACUGUACGGAGUUAAGGGCAUACGAUACAGUUACAAGGGAGGUAAUGACGUUGCUAACGUAGAUUGUUAUUUUCGCGACGUCAAACUAUGACAUAUCCGGAAAAGAUUCAGUUUUCGACUGAUUUUUAUCAUUCAAACUUAUUUAUCUUGAAAACGAGUUCAUGGACCCCUCUUAUUUAAAAUGCCAUUUGGUUUGAAUAAGCGAGAAGAUCGUGUGUGCCAAUUUUCAUGAAAACGUAAAUAGCGCAUUUUUUUUUUAAUUUGAUAGAUAUACAGCAAAAAAUGAUGUUGUUUUUUCUACAUUCAUGAACAUUAAAAUUUUGAUAAAUAUGAGUUAUUAAUAAAUAAAAAAUGUAUAAAUUUUAAGGAUACUUAUAAAAUACAGAAAUUACGAAUUAUUUAACAAAAAUCAAUUUGUGUUUAUAUUUUAAAACAAAAAAGUUAUGUCUUUCUUUCGAAAGGGAAAAUACGCCCACAAAUCCGAAUUUUAGCAAAUAUACAAUUCGACCUCAUUUUACUCAAAAAGUAGCACAUGAAUGUAUAUAUUUUUUAUUACAUAUGUGAUUUAAUCAGGUAAAAAAUAGUCUUUAUGGAAAUUUUUAUCCAAAUGUAAAUACGGGAUCAAAACUGUAUCAUAUGACCUUAAAGCUACUGACUAAACGGAAUUUGAUGAGACUGUCAUCAACGUGAGAGGGUUAGCGCUAUAAAACCAUAUUUAAUCGACCAUUUUCUACAUUCGAAAAUGCCUGUACCAAGUCAGGAAUAUGACAGUUCUUGUCCAUUCGUUUUUGAUGCAUUUUGUUAUUUGAUUUUGCCAUGUGAUUAUGGACUUUCCGAAUUGAUUUUCCUCUAAAUUCAGUAUUUUUGUGAUUUUACUUUUUACUCCAAUGCUCCGUUCAUUCAAAUGCUUUUCAGUUUUUAUGGUCACAGGUUCUUAGACUUUUGGAUUCGAGUUUCAAAUAUUCGAUACUGUAUAUUUUGUUCAUAUAUAAACCCCUGGAAAAAGUUAAAUCAAUCGCACUUACCUGGGUUUUCUUACAAACCUAAUAAUUAUAACAUAUCUUUUUUUUUAUUCAUGGUUCCAACACUAUAUAAAUUCUGUUAUAAUUGACAAGACCCCAGUUUAAUAUUCAUUUAUUCUUAGGUUUUUCUGUCCUCUGAUAGUAGAUGUCGUUCCCUGUGUUUUAAUUUGCUAUCCGGGUUUGCAUUCUCUCAAUCCAUUAAUUACUUUUCAACAGCGGUAUAAUACUAUUGCUUUUAUUCAAAAGAUAUAAAAAGGUUCAAAAUAAUUUGUUAAGUAAAAGUAAAAGUAUCGUUGUUACUAAACAUGAACAAUAUUUAACUUCGGAUGUGUACAUGGGCAAGCAUUUAAGUUCAAAAGCACAAUUCCUUGUUUUGAAAAGGAAUUGUGUCAGUGAAUACAAUAAACGCAACAAUGUGCAAUACCGAGUUACUGCUGCUUAAUCCGAGUGGGAUAACUAUUUUACAUCCCAGCUGUUUUAGAUUAGACGAAAAACCACUUACUAUUCAUAAAAUCUAGUUUUGAACGCCACACAACCAUUAUAAUAUACUUUAUACAUUACUAUAUGAUUUCUACCCUUUUUGACCACCGAACACGAUGAGUAGAUAUCAAACAAUGUCAACUCGCCCCACUGGCCAAUCGGCCCAACCUAUAUCGCCACUUUAUGAAAAAAGUCGCCCCACUCUUGUUUACCGACUUGCCCCACUUUUGAAAAAGUGUAAAAUCAUACUGAACAAUCACUGACAACUCACUUAUUAACGAAAAUGACCCAGUGAAUAAAGGUCUGCCAACUCGCCCCACUUAUACAAAUAUCUUGCUUCCUUUAAGUUUGUUAAAUUACUGAUAGGUCGUAUGCAGUCGUCCUGGUGUAAUGGUUGUGUCGUGGCUUGAUAUUCUAAAGGUCUUGAGUUCGAAUUCCAGCAUAUACACUGGAUUUUUCUACGUGAAUUUUGAAAGAUAGUCUUUUCCGUAUAAUUGUAUAUCUAAUUAUAAGUUUUAUAGUGGAUUUGACAUUCCCGCCAAAAUGUUACAGAACAAAGGAAAGCAUGCAUAACAAAGAAACUCAAACUGGGGUGAUCUGGUAGGGGUGAUCCGGCUCAGAUCACCCCUGUUAGAACAAAGGACCUGGGAUGUAAGUUAAAAAAAACAGCAUUUGUACAAAUUAUGUACUUUCGGCGAAGACAUGUAGUAUACUUUAUUUUACCUAAAUAGACCGUGUAUAUAUCACAUAGGAGUAGAUGGCUAUUUUGUUUUUUAAUUCAGUUGUGUUAUGUCCUCUUUGUAAGAUAAAUUCGUUACGCAGUGUGCCUUAUAUCACUACAGUAUAGCAUACUGCGUCUUAGGUUACUAUAUAUAGCACACUAUGUGACUAGGUUAUGUAAAUCUUUAAAAAAUCAAUUUAAUGUGCUGUUAUACAUUUUUCCGGAUGCAAAGUAACCUAGACCCUUUUGUCAGCUUACUAUUCAAAACUGAAUGAUUUUAGUGAUCAAUAUGCCGCUACACGGUUCAAUUGUUAUUUGUAAAUAUUAAACUUACUUUAUGCAAGACUAGCCAUCCUGUGUAAGUAGAUAAAAAUUUGAACCACUCAACAAUAAUUUCACUGGUACAUUUAGUACAUCAAAUGCUUAUAAUGAUAGUACCACUGACCCGAUUCUUUAGCAUUUCAAAAAAUAUUAAAAAAAAAUGCAGGCGCCAAUCAUAAAAUACAUGUUAAACAUAUUUAAUUAGCUUGAAUUUUCAUCAUAAUUUAGCUUUUGAUAUAAAUGUGUUUAUUUUAACGCUAUAUGUGGAUUAUUAAAAGCCUUCAAAUCUUUCAGUAUGAUUUUGUUGAUUUGAAAUUUAGAUACUAGUAAAUCAAGUCAGCUUAUAUUAUUUAUGAUUUUACAGCUUGACUAACAGGGGAAUAGAAGUAUGGUCACUUGGUCUUCUUCCGAUUGGCAGUUAAACGCUUGCCGAAGUUGGGCGUCAGUUUGGCUUUACGGAAUGCACAAGUCAGAACGGGGACGUUAAAUUCGAUGCUUCGUGUAAAGAGAGAGGCACGCUCUUUGCACGUUUAUAACCCUUGCAGCAACUCUAUGGGGGUCUGUAGGUGGCCUGUUGCAAGCCAAAAUUUCUGUCCUUUAUCCAAUAUACCCCCAUUUUCAAUAAACAGUCCAAAUUUCCCCGACUUCCAUCCCGAAUGGCCUCUAAUACAAGAUCUACCUAUUGUAUUUAUUGUUAACUUGUUCUCGUUUUGAACAUGCAUUAAAUAUUUGCCAUUGGACUUGAAGCAACCAACAAAUCAAUCAAUUGUUUUACCCCUUUUUGGUUAAAUAUAUCCCCCCUUCUUACUUUUUAGUACAUUUAAGUAGAAUGAUGAUAAAUAUCAAAUAACUAAAAAGGUUCCAAUUUAAAUUAUCCAAGACGUAAUCAAGUUACGUUUUGUCAAUGCAAUAAUAUCAGAAAUUGACAAAAAGAUCGGUAAAGUACAAACUAGCCGACAAGUACCUGAAAAGACUUGUUGUGUGUAUGUCAGAAACAUCGAUGAGGAUUUUGAUAUGAUCUUAUCAUAUUGUUAACCAACUAACAGUGGAGUCCCCGACGUCCGCGCGGCCGGUGAUACCGCGUAUUAGGUGAUUUGGUCAUAUCAACACAGUAACACAAAUAAAAUUGUUCUUGUUAUUGUUUCAGCAUGCCGAAGGGAUAACAAAGAAUAAAAUUGAUAAGUUCAAGAGUUAAAUAACAACUACAAUCCCGUGAUUUACAAUAUUUGGCCAAAUUCCAUUAAAAAAAUUACAUCAUCAGAUAAAAUUUGUUUUAUUUAAGUCAAAUUUAUAUCAGAUUGAAAUUAUUUUUGCUCUGCAUUCUUGGCAGUGUGCUUGGUUCAAAUUCAGCUAUAUUUCGUAGCAGAAAAUCUUUCCUUUAAUAAAAAUAAACUAUUUUUGGAAGGCAUGCGCGAAAUCACCGGACAUUUGAGGAACUCUCAGAACAGGGGUUUCCCUAAUUUUGACAUACAUUACACAACAUCUUGAGGAUGAAACCAUACAAACAGAUAAUUUUAUGAAAUAAAAGUAUGUUUUGAAUGUGUUCACACAAAUUUAUCUAAUUAUUGAUUUUAUCAGUUAAAUGAACUGAAGUCACAAGUCUUAAGACCCCGUUCACACUUAGACAUUUAGAUCGAUUUAAAGUAGACCGAUUCUCUUUAGAUCGGGUUAAGGGCUAAUGUGAACGCUUUGAAUCGAUCUUCAAUCGGUCUAAACUAAAACACCAAAAGAGGUAGUUUAGUUUGAAUCGAUCUAAAGUAAACCGAUCUUAAUUUAAAUGUGAACGCAAAUAUCGGUUUAAACUAGUACGAUUGAAUUGAAAAUAACGUAUGCGCAUGUAUAGCGGCAAAACUAUAUCAGAGGUUCGUUGUUUACCCCAUAUUUCUUUGUUAACAGACCAAAAAUCUGAAAACCUGUUGUCUUCUCUGUAGCAUAAAUUUUUAAAAUCUGUGUCUUCUUUUCUUAUGUUGAUUUUUUUUUCUUUUCAAGAACCGCAGCAUUUCUGUGUGUUGUAACUUCGUAGCUACAGUUUUUUUUCCAAAAUUAAAAAAAAAACUGAAUUAACACCAGUAUCAAAAUUUUAAAUAAUGAUUCAAGAGUUACAAUAAUUUUAUCCAUUUUUUUCAUUUUGUGUAUAAGUAUCAGUGUAUCAACACAUACAUUUUAUAAAUCAGUUCAUUUUAUUUAACAAUGUUUACAGUUUUACGGGUAAAAAGGUCAGAUCGAUUGCGUUUUUAAUUGUAGUGUGAACGCAGUGGUUCAGAUAAUACCGAUAAAAAUCGUUAUGAUUAAAAAGAUAAUGUGAACGCUAACUGGUUUUAUUUAGAUCGAUUCAAAAUAGAUCGAUUAAAAAAAUGCUAGUGUGAACGGGGUCUUACGUGCGCGGAUACACCGGACUGCACCGUAAUUGAAAAUUGCACAGAAACCAUAAACGUCCAAUGCUUUAAUUAGAUUCUAUAAUAAAUAAGAAUUGUAUAGCUGUUCAGUGUUUGAGGCGCAGUUAGUGUUAUUUCAGGGAAUCUAAUUAGCUGCACUUAAAAAAUGCGAUUUAUUCCUAAGUUAAACAUAUCUGAUAUGUCUUAUUGUAAUUUGAUAUGGACCCAACUGCAUUUCAGGCAAAAGGGUUAACUUCAGUUGGUGUUAAGAAAUUGUGGACAUAAAUAUAAAGGGUGAUCUUUUUUGAAUUUCAAACAUGGAACUAGUUCAAAUGAAUACACGUUUCAGUCGAAUAAGAUCUAGUAAAUUAUUUACCAUCCUCAACUUCAAAAGCUGAUCAUAAUUAUAAAUGUUUUCAGAACAAACAUUUAUACCUCCAAUAAUUGACUUAAAAAUAAUCGAUUAUGUGCGCAGGUGGCUAUUUGCGCUCAUGAUACAUGGACGCUUAUUACUUUUCCUGUAAGCCCUUGUUUGUGAGGUUUUCCUUAACAUUAUACAUCAACCUUAACUUGAACAGGAACGCAUGCUUUGAAUUCAUAUUCAUAUUCACCUCACAAUCAUAAUCUUGGCUAAUUUCAGGGGCAGCGGUGUCACGAUUGUACCUUCCAUGCCACCACUCCUUUAACAUGUUUAGUUGCUCGCCCAUUUCCGUUCCUCCGUCUGUUUUUUUAAGGCAUUCGUAAUCAAAAACAAUAUUUAAAGUCCUUGCACUAAAUGAUCAAUCUGUAUCCUAAUUUGAGCUAUUAAAAAUCAUUUAUUCAGUUUCGCAUUUUUAAUGAACAUUUGUUUUAUUAACUUUGAUAACUAUAUAUCAAGUAUAUAAAUUCAAAGGACUACAAUUGUUCGCCAAGAUACUGUGCUCGAGCCCCUCAACAUUGUACCUGAUCUAGAUGCGAUAAUCACACACAUCGGUGACAUAACAUGAAUUUAAUGUAUUUAUGAAAUACCAGAUUUAGUGUCAACAGAAGUAAAUUUCAUUUUUUUUUUAAAUUUUUAUUUAUAUAACUAUUACUCCGGAUCUUGUCAUGCGUUUAUUUAAACGUAAUAACAUUAUUAUAGCUAUGUUUGCCUGUAUUCAGGGUUGAUUCUGUUGUGUAAGCAAACCUAUAGUUAGCACAUAUACAUAAUUUAUAUUCAAUGUACUAAACAAACAAGGACUAUUGUUCAUCAUUUUUUUACCAAACAUGGCUCUGUUUCACACAACAGCCACGAAAUUUGUUCAUGUGUACAUAGAAAAUUGUCUAAUUAGAAAAAAAUAUAGCUUGUUACAUCCUAGAUGUAUAAAAGUUACAUCCAUUUUGUGUUUAAGAAGUUAGAUGUUGAUGAACACGUUCUUUCCAUUUAUGUCGAAUAGUACUGAUGUGCAUGUACCUAAAUUACCCAUACAUUGUACUUACACAUCGAAAAAAAAAAUCGUGUUGAAACCAUGGCAGUUUUUUAUUUUAAAUAUUGCAUAUACCCGUAGAUGAAAAUUUAAUUCAAUAAAAUAAUUAGAGAUUGCGUUAUCAAAAAGUUUAUUAAAAGCAAAAAUGAAAAAUAUUCAAUGCGAAAAUGAGUUUAGAUGUGUUUUUAUUUAUUUGUUAAAUUUGAACUUUACUUAUAUUUUAUAUAUAAAUAAUAGUUUCCUACAAUUUUCAAUGUCAACUCAGCUUGAUUUUUCAAGGUAAAGGCUUUUGAACUGUAAAAAAGCACAAGGUUAAAAAUAACGGUAAAAAUAUAGAAAUAAGGACGAUUCAGCUACAGUAUGUCACGCGUAUCCGUUAAAUCAACUGGAUUUUAUUAUGAUAGUCAAAAUCCCUUUUCAAUUAUUGACACUUAAAACAGCAAGCAUUCCCAACAUGCGGUUUUUUUUUUAUAUACAAACUGGUAGUUUUAAAACUUUUACACUUUAAAAUUCCUCUCGUUUUGUAUACUUCAAUUAAUGUAACCAUAUGCAUGAUAUAAGAUCUUUUUAAAAUGCUUUACGGUUUUGACCAAGACGUGCAACGAAUUUUUGAUAACUGCUGUGUCGUAGAUUUAUAUCUUUCAGGGCCGUAACUAGGGUUCUAAUUCAGGGGAGGCAGGCAUUUGGGGCCGCCGACUGAGUGAGGCCCCCAAGAGAGGGUUGGGGGUGGUAAAAUGGCUAAAAAUGACCCGUUUCCCUUCAAUUUCCUUACUAUAAAAGACAUCAGUAUUGCUUGAAGUUGGAAACAAUUUUUAUGCAAAAACAAGCUGAGAUUGCUGUUUGGGGUGAGCCAAGGCUCCUUCUUAAAUGCUGUUAUUUGGCCUAUAAUUAUUAACUUUAAAUACAUUGUGACCAUGGAUUUUUUUUCUCAAUAUGGCUAUAAAUGACCCAUUUUUCUUCGAUUUCCUUACUUUAAGAAAUAUCAGUAAUGCUGGAUCCUGGAAGCAAUUUAUAUGCAAACAAUUAUUACCUGUAUUUAAAGAUAUUUUUAUUAGAAAUCAAACUGGUAAGUUAAAAAAAACAUAUAAAGCAACUAAGAUCAUGGAACGCAAGAUAAUUUUUUUAUCGAGGACCUUGAAUUUCAAUAUUGUUGAAAGCUGAACAGACAUGUAUAUAAGUAAAAACAGGGACUUUAAAUACAGUCAAGUAUAUACUUAGUAUAGAAAGUCCCUGCUACAACGAAUGGGGGUGAACUACUAAGGCAUUAACCAUAAUGUUCUCGUACGAACGGGAGAAGCGGUUAAAACAGCUGAUUCAGCCGGUAACGAAUUCCCGAUAUCAUAAAAGAUUCACAAUUCAAAGGGAACUUCCUCUGCUUAAUUGAGCCCCUAAAUAAAUGUGAAUAGUUAAGUUUUAUUCAAAAUUGUCGAAAGCAAAGUUUCAUAUGUGUUUUCGUACGAAUACUGAAUAACAGACGGACGGCCACACAAAAAAAAAUUAUAAUACUGUAACGGUUCACUUUCGAUCAAAAAUCCGGAAAAUGACACAUAUAUCACGUAUCAUGAUAACACUGUUAAAACUGUAAACUUAUGUUGUUUAUUAUAUAAAUUCAAGUUCUUGGUGUACAUAAUGUCAAAAUUUCAUUUUAUUACUUCCAAAAAAAGUUUGGUGUAGAAAAUUCAGGGAUUGCCUCCCCUGCCUCAUAGGUAGUUACGGCCCUGUCUUUAAUAUUUGUGUAACUGUGUAAUUUUUAUAUAGUAGAAUAUUAAUGUAUCAAAUCUCUACAAAUUAAAUUUAAAGCACAUUUCCUACAUUUUUUGAGAUUGUAUUUAUCCGUAAAUAGUUUUUUUUUUAAGCACGUAGGUUUGAAAUUACUGCGCUCUCCCUCAUGCAUUUGGCAACCUUCAUUUUUCAAGCGUCGUUUUUUCAUGGCUGCAUGCUAAAAAUAUUUAAGGGUGUUGUAUUUGCGUGAUAAAUGAAGCUAUUUUUAGUCAAAUUAUAGACUUUUGUUAUAUAUUUAUUACUAACAUUUUGUUACAUUUAACUUCUUGUUAUAUGAUGGGGAUGUGUAUGUUAUAUUUCUCUGGGGGGACAAAGCUUUAAUAAAUAUUGUCAUACGUACAUUAUAGUUGAUUAUUAUACUAUACCUAGUAAGGUAAAGUCAUUUUUAAGAUUGGAAAUUCGGAAAUAAAAUGGAAUUCGAAUUCCAGUUGUAGUAAAAACUACAAAUUCUAAAUAUAUGUUGUAGGUGCAAGAUCUCUGACCUUGAUGACCAUUACACAUCUCCGGGUCCGGUCUUCCUUAAUACUACCAAUGGAAUUCAAGAAUACAACGUAACAGAAUGCCAAAUUCAAACAAAUGGUACAACAACAAAGUGCAACGAUUGGAUUUACGACUCUAGUCUGUUUGAAGCAACAAUUAUUUCAAAGGUCAGUUUUAUUUGCUUAUUGGCCGUAAAAAUGUAUGAAAUACUUGACUGUCAUUGGUAGUUCAGCGCAAACAUCAAUUAGUCUGUUUUUAUUUAGAGUAUCUUUAUUUAUUCUAAAUGUAUGUAACUUACAAUGCCUUUUCAAUAUUGUCAUAUCUUAAAUCAAAUACAUGAACAGUUGUAUAUUUUUUUUUUUAUAAUUGAAUAAAUUAAUGUUGUUUCCAGAUGAACAUUGCAGUCACUUUACUCACUUACAGCUUCAAGUCCAAAAAAAAAUUAAUCUUAUCUGCAAUUAAUCUUCUUUUACCUACAUUUAUAUGUAUGAAUUGAAUUUUGAAAUUAGAAUGAUUCUUCCAGCCUUCCUUCAAUUUGCAUUUUUUUUUAAAUUAUUAUUAUGAAAAAAGAUGAGUCAGUCUUUCUUAUACUGAUGUCUUUUUUGUUAUAGUUUGACGUGGUAUGCGACGAAAAACUGUACAGAGCCCAUUUUUUGAUGGGACACUAUGUCGGACUUCUCAUAGGUUCAAUAUUGUCUGGAUUGCUAAGUGACUUGUAAGUAGACAUGUUUCAACCUAUGAACAUACUAUUCUAUAAUGUAUUCUAUGUUUUGUUUUGUAUAAUGUUGUUUGUAUUUUGGUUGUUUUUGUCAUAGCGUUAUCAUUUGUCAUUGACUUACGAGUUUUAAUAUGGUAUCUUGUAGGUAACUUUCGCUUCUUUUUUACAUCUAGGAUUGAGCUAAUUAAAAUUGUCAGUCAGUUUUUGUUUUUGUACGGAAACGAACAAGAAAAAAAAACGUACCUUAAAGGUCAAGGCAUCAGGUGCUAAUAUGCAGUGCUGUGUAUUAAUAAACAAGGAUUUACGAUUUUGGUGUUGCGUAAAACAGUCCUUUAUGGUUUACUUUUAUAAAUUGUAACUUUGAUUGAGAGUUGUCUCAUUGGAACUCAUACCACAUCUUCCUAUAUCUACUUAUCACAUUAUCUUUACUAGAAGUAUGAUCAACAACCUGCACAAUCUACAAAAAACAAUUACAAAAUAUUAGAAACAAUUCACAACUUUAUGAAUGAAAAAGAAAAUUAAAUUACUACUGUAAAUUGGUCAGUGUGCAUGUGCAUCUAUUGAAUCGUACAGUUUUAUAAGAAUAGUCGUAUACCAGUGAAAGACAAUUCAUAUAAAACAAAAUGGUUUUUCAAACAAAAAUAAAAAAGUCAAAGAGACCAUAGCAGCAAUUAAAUUGUAAACGUCUAGACGGGUGUAAAAUAAAACCGUGGAAUGAUUUAAAUUCCCUCUUAUGCACGGGUGCAUUACCCGUGCACAAUACUACGCAUGACGGUACUCGUUAUACCUUGUCACGAAAAGAAAUGAUCAAAACUUAUGUAGUACCGCUUUUAGUCGUUCUUCCUCAUGAUCCUGUUGGAGACAGCUUUUGCACCAAAUACCUUGUUAAAAAUUCCACAGACGUUCGAUUCUUGAUUCAUUUACGUAUAACGCACGCCUCAAUUUCUUCUUAAUGAAUUAGAUGAAUUUCAAAGACAUUUAUUUAAACACCAGCCUAGUAUAUUUUCAAUUUAUACUCUCAGAGCAUUUAUACUUUCAAUGUCAACUCUUUGUAGAUUGUCAUAAUGUUUAGGAUUUUAAAAUAUUUUCCUAUCAUACUGCUUUUAAAGUAUUUAAAAUGUAUAAUACUUUACUAAUAUGAAUAAUAUACAAUUAUAGUAUUUCAUAUUUUAUUAGAUGGGGUCGGAAACCAACGAUGCUAAUAGGAAUAGUUAUGUUGUUGUUUUCAAUGGGACUCAGACCUUUCAUGCCGUAUUUCUUACUAGUGUCCAUUCUCGAGUUCUUCAAUGGUGCUGGUAGUAUGAUAGCAUACAUUUGUCCAUUUAUAAUUCGUAAGUUAUUUAAUGUGUUUAACUGUAACAUUACAAUUAAGUUAAUUGUAUACAUAUGUAACAGUAGUUGUAGUGCUAUCAGAAAUAAAUAACAUUUGUUUCAAUAAAAAAAAUACAUGUAUUUUCAGUUACAUAUAUAAUAGUAUUUACAAAAAGCGGUGAAAAAAACCCACAAAAAAUAUAACUAGGUAAGAAUAGCUCUCUUGACCCUUCGUGUCAGGUAAGAUAUAAGCGAGCUUAAAAUAGAAAACAAUUCUUAUCACCUAUGAACGGAAAAAAGUUAGAACCAUAUGUUAUAAAAUAGUUAUAAUAAUUAGUUUCUAGAGGACGUUACACAAACAAACAAAAAUAUUGUUGAGCAUUGCAAAUACUACCGAUUUGCCAAGUAUGAACUCGGUACAAUUGCAUUAAAUUAAUAAUUUUUUUGUAUGACAAAUAACAAUACGGAGAAUAUGAUUUUAAAUUUGACUGUAAACAUGUAAUUUGAUAUCGAAAGUUAUGACAUUAACACAAUUGAAAACGGUAAUAGUAAAGAAAAUAUCUGUACGAUAUUUCUAAAUUUUUGUUUGUAUUUUGUUUUAACAAAUAUUACAAGAGUUUUUAAUGAAUAACACACUUAUUAAUAAACCUAACAUUAUGUUACUUGAAGCACAACUUUAAAAUCUAAAUUCUUUAUUACCGUCAACACUACAGUUCAUCGGUAUCAGUAUAACUUACGAAAUAAACAAGUAAACAUACAGAUAAUAUAAGUCUUAUGCUUGUUAUAACGUGGUCUCUGAUUUUAAAUGCAGUAAACCUUUAUUUUCCUUAACUAUCUGAUGUUCUUAACACUCAAAAGUUCAAUAAAUUUAAACACUAUUUGCCUAGAUCAAUAAUAUUUCUUGAUGAAUUUUCUCUAAACUCCUUAUAUUUCGAACGCACACUUAAGAUAAAAUGAAAUUAGGCUUGAAUACUCUGACAGCAAGUUGUACAUUCACGAGGUGACAACUGAAUGCUUAUGCAGCGUCCAGUUUCAACUUAUAACGAACGAGAAGAAAGUUUAUUUCAGAAAGGGCUCUCCGGUACACAACACAAAUAAUUUUGUCAAAAACAAAAGUUUGAAAACUUUGACACAUUUACAGAUUUUGAACGUUUUCGAUCGAUAUCGAUGCACAUUUCUUUAUAUACAUGUACGGAGCUUAAAAUACACGUAUUUGUUAACAAGAUUUUGAACCAGUAUUUAAACAUUUGAAUUUUCCAUUUAACAAUCAUUCAAUUGGAAGUCUUCCUAGUUCCAGGUAUACAUGUAUCAUGAUAGCAGGAUUUGUAAACUGUUAAAAACAUCAAGUUGUCUUUUGCAAUUUAUCAAUUCCUUUGAUCAUUGAAAUGAAUAUCAAUAUGUAUUUAACUGCAUUUAAUUAACACACUGUAAUUUUAAUAUUUUAGUUACUGAAAUGGUUGGACCUAAGCAAAGAAUUCUAGCCAACUUUGCUGUAUACAUAACAUUCUGUGUAGGAAACUAUAUCCUACUACUACUAGCGUAUUACUUGAGGGACUGGUCUGUUUUAUAUUUUGCGAUAACUAUAUUUGUAGCUGCAUAUAUGAUAGUUAUGUUGUAAGUUAAAUUGAUAUUCCAUUUCAUCAUAAUCUAAAAAAAUGUUUAUGUUGACAAACUUAAAAAUUUAUUCAUAAUCACAGUAAACGAUAUGAUGGAUGUAACGUGUCUUCUGAUUUUUUGUUUUUUAAUUAGCUCAUAAACAUAAUUUUGGGAUGUGACCAUGACGUCUUCAACGUUUUUAAUGAUUUACUCCUUAAAACGGAUUUAGAAAGGCCAAUCAUUAAAUAGAAAUUGUAUGUCUGAUUUUUAUAAGCAUGAUACUUAAAAAUAAUAAUAAUACACACAUAGUGCAAAAGUCCCAAAACUAUAGACGUCAUUGCUAUUGUCGCCUUAAAUGCUCACCAUGCAUUUCAGCAAAACAUUAUUUUAAACCAUAAUUGGUAACAUUGAAAGUUAUCUUGUUAUACACUGUAUAUUGAGGGCGCAAUUAUCUAGAUCAACCCGAGUACAUUAAAAAAAAACUCAGUUAAUUGACGAUUUCUGCCACUUGAUUAUUAGUAGUCGGUUUGAUCUCGUCUUGUCUUUCUAAUUGUAUUAGCGGUUUACAGUUUCUCUCUAUUGAUAACGCUUUGCCGUGUUAUAGUAAAAAAAAUAAAACAAACGGGUAAAACAAAGUCGUUAAAGGGCCAAAGUCAGUCGAGAGAAUACCUCACUGAAAACUUAACUCUUUUACUUUUAGACGAUAGCUGUUUCUAUCGUUCUAUUAAAUGCUUCAUUCUUUUAAUUUCUUAAAACUUGCAUAUAGCCAAAAAAAUAAGAUAUAUUCGACUGUAAAGAUCUAUUGUUAAGUAAUUAAGCCUAGUAUAUUUGGUUUCAAUUAUUAUUAAAAAUAAAACAAGUCCAUUGUAUAUCUAGAUAAUAACGUCAUAUAUACUUUUAACACAUUCUACUUCACCAGAUGCGGAAACGGAGUCGCUACACACUGAUUACAAAUUUGUUCUGUACAUUUAAUAGAAACUAAACUUGACUUUCCCAAAUUAAUUUUUAUUUUACUUUUCUGAAUGCUUAUACUGACGUUGUUGAUUAUUUGUUUUGACAGUUUUAUUUCGGAAUCACCAAGAUGGUUAUUAAGUCGGGGGAGAAAAAAAGAAGCUCUAGCAAUUUUAAAAAAGAUGGCAAUAUUUAAUGGAAAGAGUUUGAACAUGUCUGUAGACGAUGUGGUUGUGAAGGAUAUACAUAGAACAUCUUUUCUUGACUUUGUGAAAAC
This 19089-nucleotide long non-coding RNA is filed under the name Mytilus galloprovincialis (Mediterranean mussel). The record is from RNAcentral. Lineage: Eukaryota; Metazoa; Mollusca; Bivalvia; Mytilida; Mytilidae.